UCCAGAAUGGGCUCCCGUGGUCUGGAAGGUCUCUUUCCCGCCCCAUCACCCCAGCGCCAAGCCGCUACAGCCCAGAAAGUUCGCCCCCGCACCAGCGCCAACAGCCCACGAGCUCCACCCCAGCACCAAGGCCCCGCCCACCGCUGAGCCCCGUCCCCACUUCUAGCCCAGUGCACAUCUCAACCACCAGAGGGAGCUUGGCACAAAGGAAUCACAGCUCCGAGCUCAACAGGACAAUUGUGGUGGGCCCGGUUGGACAGGGGAUAUGGAAUCCUGGACCCGAUCCAGAGUCUUAAUGAUGCCAUCUGAAUCCCGGACUCCCUGCGCCAAACUACGCCCCAGCCUGCUGAACCUGCAGCAAGUCCUCAAAUAAAGGAUAAGAUAAAGGAACUCUAGC
Long non-coding RNA from Leptonychotes weddellii (Weddell seal), 397 nucleotides. RefSeq lists it as uncharacterized. The record is from RefSeq and is a predicted model, not a curated record. NCBI's taxonomy places the organism in Eukaryota, Metazoa, Chordata, Mammalia, Carnivora, Phocidae.